Molecule: long non-coding RNA, 222 nt
Organism: Nematolebias whitei (Rio pearlfish)
Lineage: Eukaryota; Metazoa; Chordata; Actinopteri; Cyprinodontiformes; Rivulidae
Exons: 3
Source: RefSeq, a predicted model, not a curated record
CCCCCUCCACGUGGCCUCCAAGUAUGGAAAGGUGGACGUAGCAGAGCUUCUUCUGGAAAGAGGCGCCAACCCAAAUGCUGCAGGGAAAAACGGUCUGACACCCCUUCAUGUGGCCGUCCAUCACAACAACCUGGAUGUUGUUAAACUCCUGGUCAGCAAAGGAGGAUCUGCACACAGUACUGCCCGAAAUGGUUACACACCUCUACACAUAGCGGCUAAACA